GACGAACGCUGGCGGCGUGCUUAACACAUGCAAGUCGAACGGAAAGGCCCUGCUUGCAGGGUACUCGAGUGGCGAACGGGUGAGUAACACAUGGGUGAUCUGCCCUGCACUUCGGGAUAAGCCUGGGAAACUGGGUCUAAUACCGGAUAGGAGCCAUUUUUAGUGUGAUGGUUGGAAAGUUUUUUCGGUGUAGGAUGAGCUCGCGGCCUAUCAGCUUGUUGGUGGGGUAAUGGCCUACCAAGGCGGCGACGGGUAGCCGGCCUGAGAGGGUGGACGGCCACAUUGGGACUGAGAGACGGCCCAGACUCCUACGGGAGGCAGCAGUGGGGAAUAUUGCACAAUGGGCGCAAGCCUGAUGCAGCGACGCCGCGUGGGGGAUGACGGCCUUCGGGUUGUAAACUCCUUUCGCUAGGGACGAAGCUUUUGUGACGGUACCUAGAUAAGAAGCACCGGCUAACUACGUG
RNAcentral lists this ribosomal RNA (464 nucleotides) under uncultured bacterium. Its description in RNAcentral is "partial 16S ribosomal RNA". It matches the Rfam family "Bacterial small subunit ribosomal RNA", at positions 28 to 507 of the family's 1533-position model. The record is from RNAcentral.